This 860-nucleotide ribosomal RNA is filed under the name uncultured bacterium. Its description in RNAcentral is "bacterial SSU rRNA". It matches the Rfam family "Bacterial small subunit ribosomal RNA", at positions 615 to 1473 of the family's 1533-position model. The record is from RNAcentral.
CAAUGUAUGCUUUGGAAACUGCUAGACUNGAGUGCAGAAGGGGAGAGUGGAAUUCCAUGUGUAGCGGUGAAAUGCGUAGAUAUAUGGAGGAACACCGGUGGCGAAAGCGGCUUUCUGGUCUGUCACUGACGCUGAGGCUNGAAAGCGUGGGUAGCGAACAGGAUUAGAUACCCUGGUAGUNCACGCCGUAAACGCUGAGUGCUAGGUGUUAGGUCCUUUCCGGGACUUAGUGCCGACGCUAACGCAUUAAGCACUCCGCCUGGGGAGUACGACCGCAAGGUUGAAACUCAAAGGAAUUGACGGGGGCCCGCACAAGCGGUGGAGCAUGUGGUUUAAUUCGAAGCAACGCGAAGAACCUUACCAGGUCUUGACAUCCCGAUGCCCGCUCUAGAGAUAGAGUUUUUCUUCGGAACAUCGGAGACAGGUGGUGCAUGGUUGUCGUCAGCUCGUGUCGUGAGAUGUUGGGUUAAGUCCCGCAACGAGCGCAGCCCUUAUUGUUAGUUGCCAUCAUUAAGUUGGGCACUCUAGCGAGACUGCCGGUAAUAAACCGGAGGAAGGUGGGGAUGACGUCAAAUCAUCAUGCCCCUUAUGACCUGGGCUACACACGUGCUACAAUGGUUGGUACAACGAGUCGCAAGCCGGUGACGGCAAGCUAAUCUCUGAAAGCCAAUCUCAGUUCGGAUUGUAGGCUGCAACUCGCCUACAUGAAGUCGGAAUCGCUAGUAAUCGCGGAUCAGCACGCCGCGGUGAAUACGUUCCCGGGCCUUGUACACACCGCCCGUCACACCACGAGAGUUUGUAACACCCAAAGUCGGUGAGGUAACCAUUUAUGGGGCCAGCCGCCUAAGGUGGGANGGAUG